CCCAGCGGCGGACGGCUGAGUAGCACGUGGCUGACCUGCCCUCGGGUGGGGGAUAGCGGACCGAAAGGUCCGGUAAUCCCGCAUAAGGUUUUCGCUUUACGGGGUGGAGAAGAAAGCCUUCGGGCGCCGGAGGAGGGGGCCGCGGCCCAUCAGGUGGACGGUGCGGUAACGGCGCACCGUGCCUGCGACGGGUGGCCGGGCUGAGAGGCCGGACGGCCAGACGGGGACUGGGAGACGGCCCCGACGCCUACGGGCGGCAGCAGUUAGGGAUCUUGCGCAAUGGGAGGAAUCCUGACGCAGCGACGCCGCGUGGGGGAUGACGGCCCUCGGGUCGUAAACCCCUUUUCUGAGGGACGAGGAUGGACGGUACCUCAGGAAUAAGCACCGGCUAACCCCGUGCCAGCAGCCGCGGUAAUACGGGGGGUGCGAGCGUUGUCCGAAUUCACUGGGCGUAAAGGGCGCGUAGGCGGCUCAUUCAGUCCGGUCUUCAAGCGCGGGGCUUACCCCCGCGUCNGGGCCGGGGACGGGUGGGCUGGGGGCCGGUCGAGGGAUGCGGAAUGCCGGGUGUAGUGGUGAAAUGCGUAGAGAUCCGGCGGAACACCGGUGGUGAAGGCGGCAUCCUGGGCCGGAACCGACGCUGAGGCGCGAGAGCGCGGGGAGCGAACCGGAUUAGAUACCCGGGUAGUCCGCGCCGUAAACGGUGGGCACUAGGUGUGGGGGGUAUCGACCCCCUCCGCGCCGGCGCGAACGCAGUAAGUGCCCCGCCUGGGGAGUACGGCCGCAAGGCUAAAACUCAAAGGAAUUGACGGGGGCCCGCACAAGCAGCGGAGCGUGUGGUUUAAUUCGAUGCGACGCGAAGAACCUUACCAGGGCUUGACAUGC
Molecule: ribosomal RNA, 882 nt
Filed under: uncultured bacterium
Lineage: Bacteria
Description: bacterial SSU rRNA
Rfam family: Bacterial small subunit ribosomal RNA
Source: RNAcentral